CAACCCCUUAAGCCCCUGUUGCUUAGCGUUGGGAGCCUACGGUCCGCCGUAGCUCCUUAAAGUUAGUGGCGGAGUCGGCCCGCACCCCAGGCGUAGUAGUUUAGUCAGCUCGCCCGCGGUCGGACCGGUCCCCUGCCGUAAAACACCCCUUAUUCUCGCAA
This 161-nucleotide unclassified non-coding RNA is filed under the name uncultured Xylariales. RNAcentral describes it as "sequence contains ITS2". Lineage: Eukaryota; Fungi; Ascomycota; Sordariomycetes; Xylariales. The record is from RNAcentral.